UACAGAGGCCCCAAGCAUUAUCCGGAAUCACUGGGCGUAAAGGGUGUGUGGGCGGUCGUAUUAGUCGUUUGUGAAAGAUCUCGGGCUUACCCCGGGAGACGCAAGCGAAACGGUACGACUUCGAGGAUGCGAGAGGUAAAGGGAACUCAUGGUGUAGGGGUGAAAUCCGUUGAUAUCAUGGGGAACACCAAAUGCGAAGGCACUUUACUGGCGCACUCCUGACGCUGAAACACGAAAGCGUGGGAAUCGAAAAGG
This 255-nucleotide ribosomal RNA is filed under the name uncultured bacterium. Its description in RNAcentral is "partial 16S ribosomal RNA". It matches the Rfam family "Bacterial small subunit ribosomal RNA", at positions 524 to 776 of the family's 1533-position model. The record is from RNAcentral.